RNAcentral lists this unclassified non-coding RNA (207 nucleotides) under Hevea brasiliensis (rubber tree). Lineage: Eukaryota; Viridiplantae; Streptophyta; Magnoliopsida; Malpighiales; Euphorbiaceae. The record is from RNAcentral.
AGAAAAGAACCCUCCUCCUUCUACUGCCAAUAACAUUAGUUAUACCUCAUCUGGGGUGCUCAAAAUUUACUUCUUGGAAGGCUUCCACCCCUCAAGCAACCAAAGGCACCUGUAGAACCCGGCAGAGACGGAAACGAGAGAGAUCACCGGAGUUUAAAUCGACGGCGCCAUGGCUGAAGCAUCAUUGAUAGUGAAAAAUAGGGGAAU